Molecule: ribosomal RNA, 254 nt
Filed under: uncultured bacterium
Lineage: Bacteria
Description: partial 16S ribosomal RNA
Rfam family: Bacterial small subunit ribosomal RNA
Source: RNAcentral
UACGAAGGGGGGCUAGCGUUGUUCGGAUUUACUGGGCGUAAAGCGCACGUAGGCGGAUAUUUAAGUCAGGGGUGAAAUCCCGGGGCUCAACCCCGGAACUGCCUUUGAUACUGGGUAUCUUGAGUCCGGAAGAGGUGAGUGGAAUUCCGAGUGUAGAGGUGAAAUUCGUAGAUAUUCGGAGGAACACCAGUGGCGAAGGCGGCUCACUGGUCCGGUACUGACGCUGAGGUGCGAAAGCCAGGGGAGCAAACGGG